Rosa rugosa (rugosa rose) is the source of this 867-nucleotide long non-coding RNA. RefSeq lists it as uncharacterized. The record is from RefSeq and is a predicted model, not a curated record. Lineage: Eukaryota; Viridiplantae; Streptophyta; Magnoliopsida; Rosales; Rosaceae. The transcript has 2 exons.
UAGGCUAUCAUUUGUUUUUCUUUUUUACUCUAAUUCCGUUGUCAUGUAUGUCUUCAGAUUUUAUUUUAUUUUUUAUUUUUUAAGGAGAAUAAAUUGUGGUUAGUUAUUCUUUCAAGUUCGGUACGUAAUUAAUCGAUUAGAAAAUAUAUAGUUGCCCUGUGCACAUCCAUUUCCACACUUUGAGCUUAGCAUGUGUUUUGUUUGUUGAGAACUUAGGUAAACUAACAUGCUGCGAAGACUUUGAAGUAGUUGGUUUGAAUGGUAGAUGGGGCGAUGGGGGAGUAGAAUUGAAGAUAUAUGCACGAUCCAUUUAAUUACUAACCAUAUAUCUACAAUCUCAUUACCUUAGUUACAUCACUAGUCCCAUCACCAGACAUUACUGAUGCCGGAGCUGGAUCCACCGCCUCCUGGCACACCGCUGCUGGCCCCGGCUCCUCCCUACCAUCGAGGAGGAUGCUUGGAACUAUGCUUGUGGCUUCUGUGCUGCUGUGGACUAUUUAGUUGCUGCUGCCCUCCACUCUUUGAGUCUGGGCCACCCCCACCUUAGCUAUGGUGCUGCAUUUUCUAUUUAGCUGACUUUUGUAUGGGUUAAACAUUGUGUGAGUGAUGAGAGGUAGCUAGAAAUGAUCCAAUAUAAAUCUCUGAUCUCAGUAUUCCAGUAGUUUUUUAUUUUUUUUGCAACUCAGUAUUCCAGUUUGGUUAGUUGGUCUCUGAUGUUAACCCAUUUAUAGGCGUUUGUUCCUCAGCUCUACUUUUUUAUGUAUUUUGAUUGGUACUUUGUACAUUGAUUUAUAGUUCUUUCUCAAUUCUGUUGUCUUUAUAUUGUAAUGCCCAUGGAAUUGCAGACAGUUCCUGUGAUUUUCUUUC